CCGUCCUCCCGCCGCCGUCCGGCCACCAACCGCCGCCGCACCGGUCCCGUUCGGUCGGUCUCCCUCCCAGCAACAUUUCUAGACCGGUGACAGCCUCCCUAGCGCCGUCGUGAGGGAGAAACGCCGCCUGAAAGCUCCGACUGCCGAAUCGGUUUUCUCGCCGGAACUCCCUUCUCCGGCUGCCAUAUCCGGCGAGCCUUAGCCCAAAAGGAAGCCCUCCUCCCGUGCUUCAAUCCCUCCAAAGGGCUAGCUCCGUCGUGAGCUAGGUAAGGAGAAAUGGGAACUUGAAAUUUCUAGGGCUUUUUGUGUAUUUGUGUUCGAUUGAUGUGCUUAGGCUUAGAAUUGGAGUUUGUGGUAGUUAGGAAUGUUGUAGAGGAGGUUGAGAGGAAGAUGCUGCCAAAAUUUGGUAGCAUUUGCAGGUCGCCGGAAAACGGCUGCCGGCAGCCGCCGCCGGUUAGGAGAUUUUUAGGGUUUUAAAUGUGGAAUAUUAAGAGGAGUAUAUUGGUGUGAUUUAUGGAAUUUUUGGAUGAGAUUUGGAUAGGUUUGUGAAUUUCCGAAGUUUGGUAUUUUUGGCGGUUAAUUAAUGUAGAAUCCGGCCGUAGGAUUUAAGUCGUAUUUUAGAGAGGUUGUAUUUACGACUGUUGAGUAUGAUAUUUAAGUUCGGAUCGUUCCGAUGUAAGAAUAUCGAAGUUAGGCAAUGAUGAGCGUAAUUAUGACUCUCGGGUAAUUUUGCCUAUUUUGAUUAAAUAUGGGAUUAUUGGUUGGGAAAUUAAUAUUUUAUUUGGAACAGGACGUGAGGAGACUCGAGCAGACGAGACCCCAGAUCGACGACAGGCUUAGGCCUAAUUUGUGAGUGGACGUUUAUUUUAAAUAAAUGCAUGCUAAAGUUCACGAUUGAAUAAUUAAUGUCGUGGAGUAUUUUGACGUCAUUUUAAUUUUUGACGAUUUUUAUUUCUCUUGGAGAGAUACCGAAAAUGGGAUUUUCGGUGGAUAUAAAUAUGUAUUUAUGAGAGAGUAUGUAUAUAAAAUGCUAGCUAGCCAUAUGUGUCUGUCCACCUUAAUGGCGUAGCAUAUAGCCGCAUUAUGGUGUGACGUGAGCGUUGGACGUAAGCGUAGUAGCC
Molecule: long non-coding RNA, 1121 nt
Filed under: Fragaria vesca (wild strawberry)
Lineage: Eukaryota; Viridiplantae; Streptophyta; Magnoliopsida; Rosales; Rosaceae
Description: long non-coding RNA (FVES_LNC005652)
Source: RNAcentral